Molecule: long non-coding RNA, 7043 nt
Filed under: Homo sapiens (human)
Lineage: Eukaryota; Metazoa; Chordata; Mammalia; Primates; Hominidae
Description: HSALNT0364876
Source: RNAcentral
AGCCCAGAUCUGGGCAUGCUUGGUGGGCCAGGGAGGAGCUGAGAUGGGUGGAAGGUGUGGAGGUGAGCUCUUACCUGGGGAAUACAGAGUUCGUGGAAGGGUCUCCUGGCUCCUGGCUGGUGAAGCUGAAUUGAAUAAUGACGCUGAACCUAUAACUUUCCUCUUGAUUGUUUUCUCUCAUCGUAGCGUGUGCCCUGUGUUGUUGACUACCCUUGUGUUGUGCUGAUAUUCCAUCACAGAGGUGAGUGCCCAGAGAACGGUAAGGAGGGAAGCCCAGAGGAAAGGCUUUGCGGGGAGAAUCCCCACUGCUUUCUUAUGGGAAAUCAAAUGAAUGAGAUAGGGGUGAGCAGGUAAUAUCUAAAUUGUACAGAGUCCCCCUUCUUCCUUCUUUUCUUCCUUUCUUUCUUCCCUGGUAUGGUUUGAAUGCAUCCCCCCAAAGUCAUGUGUUAGAUAGUCCCCAAGGCAAGUGUUGUGAAGUGGGACCUAAUGGGAGGUGUUUAGGUCAUGAGGGCUCUCCCCUCAUGAAUGGAUUAAUGCUGCCAUAUAAAGGGUUUCUGGGAGUGGGCUCUCUCUCAUCCUGCCUUCCAUCAUGUGAGGACACAACGUGCAAGGCACCAUCGUGGAAGAACAGAAUGUCUUCAUCUGACAUCGAACCUGCUGAUGCCUUGACCUCAGACUUCUCAGCCUUCAGAACUGUGAGACAAUAAAUUUCUGUUUACAAAUUACUCAGCCUGUGGUAUUCUGUUAUAGCAACACAAAAAGAAGCCACCCCCCAUUCCUCACUCCCUCCAACCUUUACUGAGCAAUAGCUGCCUAACUGUUUUGUGCUAAGGGAUGGAGAUACAAAGAUGACUGGAACACAGUUUCUGCUCCCUAGGAGUUCUCAGUCAAGACACACAAGUAAGUAACACAGCUCUUUGAUCUUAGAAUGUACUCUCAAUAUACUAACAGAUUUUCAGAAGAAAAAAAGUUAGAAACACUACCACACUCAGUGUCCACAUUAGCAAAACAUUCUGGUUUCAGAAACACUCAAGUGUGAAAAAAAAGUGUUUUAAAAUUGAGCAGUAUGAACAGAGUAAUCAUUUUCACAAUAGGAGUGGUCCCAUUGACCUAUCAAAACAUGAAAAUGUGGGGGAAAAUGUGUCUUGGAAUUGGUAGUUACAGCGGUGUGAUCAUUGUCACAAUGGGUGGGAACAAAACGCCAUUGGAACCCACUGGAGGAACCCCUUAAUGCUGUGUGGGAACACCAGACAAGGCUCCUGGCAGGAGAUAGUGUUGGAAUGCUGCCUUCUAGGCUAACAGUGGUGGACAAGAGGAUGGUAAAGAGUCCAGAGGAAGCGGGGUUCCAGGCAGAGGGAGCAGCUUCUGAGAGAGACCCAAUUUAUCUUCAGGCUGGAAAAAGAAAAGGAAGGCCUGAUGAAAACCGUGUAUUUGGCUUUGUUUACAUUAAUGAAGUGAUUGGACAGAAAAAGUCACAAUGACUUUUUUCUUUUGUGAAAAAAAUUAUUGGGAAUGGAAUUUUGAAGUCAGGGAGACUGAAAGAGGACUCACCUAUGUCUAUCUGGAAGAUGUAUCCAAAACACCCAGGAGUUUUGUGCGCAUGUGUAUGAAGGAAGUUCAGCUAGGAAAAGCUUGCAGCCUGGGCAAUACAGCAAGACCCCAAUUCUAAAAAAUUUUUUUUUUAAUUAGCUGGGUGUGAUGGUGUGGCACCUGUGGUCCUAGCUACUCAGGAGGCUGAGGUAGGAGGAUCACUUGAGACUGGGAGGUCAAGGCCGCAGGGAGAAAUAAUAGCAUCACUGUACUCUACCUCGACCCUGCCUCGAAAAAAAAAUAAGAAAAGAAAAAGGAAAAGGAAAAGAAAAAAGUUCAGAUACUUCAAAAUGUGGAUUUGCCAUAAAAACCUUUUCUUGAAGCAUUCUUGAAAUUUCUUACCAGAUGUCAAACAGAAAAAGCCUCACAUUACUGGAGAAACUUUAUCUAAAGCCACAUACACUGGGAAUAUGGAGAUUUGUGAAUAGAAAGAGGUAAAAGCUGGAAGUGAUUCCUUAGUCAGAUGAGGUGCUUCCAUGAAGAAGAGUAGGCAUGUCUUGAAGCAAGUUAUGGAGGAAUUGGCCACCUCGCCAUUCCUCCCACGUCACUCUGUGAAACUCCAGGUAUCCUUCCAGGUAGUCACCUGCCUGUUUUGUUCAUGAUGUGCCUGCUGACUUCAACAAAGAAAGAUUUUUUUUUGUGAGUGCCUUUGGAAACUACAAAGCUGCUGAUGUUUUGCAGAUGGUAUAAAGGUUUUUUGUUUUGUUUUGCUUGUGUCAAACAAAAGUGACUCGACAGAAAAGGUUCAUUUCCUUGCACAGACAGUGCUGUUGCAAUGCGUGGCUAUGCAUCUGACUUUGCUACUUGAGUAAAAGGGAGCACCUAUGUUGUUCUCACUCACCGCAUUUCACACAAACGUAUUCUGGCUCUUCAAAAACCCCAAGAGAAGUUUUGUCAACAGCCAUAAAAGUCAUCAACUUUUAUCUAGUCUCUGAAUCACAGCAUUUUUGCAGGUUUUGUCAAGAAAUGAUGGCAGAAAAUGAAGUGCUUCUCUACCACAGAGAAGCUUACUGUCUUUCAAGGGGAAAGAUUCACUGUUUUCUAAAAGAAAAAGAAAAUCCUCUCCUGGAACAUGUAGCAAGAAAAAAUGUUGUCUGAGGGUUGGCUGACCCAGCGGAUAUUUUUAACCAUCUGAACGAGAUGAACCUUCCAGUUCGAGGCCCUGAUACCACCAUUAUGAAUGAUCCUGAAAACUUUACCAGCUUUUUUGGCUCAGCUGCCAAUAUGAAAGGAGAGUUCAGGCUGACAUCUUUGCCAACUUUUGCGAUGCUGGAGGAAGUGCUUUAUCUCAAUGAAGUUGACAUACAAAAUACUGUCAGUUUAUCUGAAAAGAGAAAUCUACAAACACCUGGAAACACUGUAGAACUCCUUUAAAAAUUAUUUCUAUCUUGAUGGUAUCAAAGUUGGACCAUAGAAUUGCAUUCUUUUUCUUGUUGAUAUAAACUGUCUCAAAGGUGUUUGCCUAGCCAAAGAUGGCGAACAUUGAUCUUGGGAUGGAAAACAGCUACAACUAGAGUUUAGCUAAAAAGUCUUGGAGAGUUUUGGUGCUCCUUGACAGAAACAUCUGUCUACUUUGCAAAGGAGCCGUAAAAGCUUUAAUUCCAUUUUCAACAAUAUAUCUUUGAGGAUUGGAGUUUUAAUGUUGUUACUAGAAAAAAUCAAAAUCAAUUGGAUGUCCAGCAUGACAAGUGUAUUAUCUCAUCAAAGACAUCCCGCUGUCUCAUAUUCUUAUUCAAACUAGGCAAAGCAGCCUUUAUAUGGGUAUGUCUUUUAAAAAACAAAAUUUAACUUCAAUUUGCCUGUAUUUCAAGUGCAAUGUCUUAUUUUUUUAAAUGUGGUUCAAAGAAGCAAAUCUGUUACUAUGUAAUAUAUAUUUUAAACAUACUAUUUUGGUAAUUGUACUUCAGUAUACACGCUUGGUUUUCCUUGUAAUCCUACGCCUUUAUUUUAUGCAUCAAAAAACAUUAUUUUAAGAAAGGUCUGUAGGCUUCACCAGAUUGCCCAAGGAAUCCACUAUGUAAAAACAGUAAAGAACUGAUGGCCCCGCACAGUUGCUCAGGCCCGUAAUCCCAGCACUUUGGGAGGCCAAGGCGGGUGGAUCACUUGAGGUCAGGAGUUUCAGACUAGCCUGGCCAACAUGGUGAAACCCCAUCUCUACUAAAAAUACAAAAAUUAGCCAGGCAUGGUGGCAUGUGCCUGUAGUCCCAGCUACUUGGGAGGCUGAGGCAUGAAAAUUGCUGAACCCAGGAGGUGGAGGUUGCAGUGAACCGAAAUUGUGCCACUGCACUCCAGCAUGGGCAACAGAGCGAGACUCUGUCUCACACACACAAAAAAAGAUCUCCUGAUAUAAGAGGACAUGAUCAUCUGCCAUGCUCUCAAGUUGCUUAACGUUCAAAAAGGCAGGUGUGUUGUGUAUGAUAUGGUGCUUGAAGAAAGAGAAGCUCCCUUGACAAAAGGCCAGGCCAGCCGUUUGGCUCCUGUGCUGUCAGAAAACCCAGUGGAGGUGGCAGUCUUUAAUGUUCAACCUCAUCAUUCCCAAGACAAUGGAAGAAGAGGGCAGAUACCAACCCAACAUAGGAAGGCACCUCUUCUCUUUUCUUUCUAUAGUAACUGAUUCCAGAAAACUGGCCAUUUCAAUCAAGCCCCCGUUGCUGAAGUGAAAUCUGUUACUGAGUUCUUCCUGUAUUCAGGGAGUGAUAUAGGGUUACAGAGAAGGGAAACACAAAGUCUCUUCCCUUGAGGAGUAAACAAUUUAGUGUUGGAGACAAAAUUAAUACAUAAAACAAUUAAGGGGAAUUAAAUGCAAGGCUAGAGGGUGUUUUAAGAAAAUUCUGCCUGUUGACUUUUUCAACACAGUAUCCUCAGGGUCUAGAAUAUUGCUUGGCACACAGUAUAUGCCAGAAAAAAAAUCUUUGUUGAAUAAAUAAGUUGAUGAUGGAAAUGUUAAAAUAACAUCUAUUGUUAUGAGAAUAAGACAGUUGUCCCUCAGUAACCAUGGGGAAUUGAUUCCAGGACCUCCCUUGGGUACCAAAGUCCAAGGAUGCUCAAGUACCUAAUAUAAAAUGGUGUAGUAUUUAUUUGCAUAUAACCUAAGCACAUUUUCCCAUAUACUUUAUUUAUUUAUUUAUUUAUUUGAGAUGGAGUCUCGCUCUGUCGCACAGGCUGGAUUGCAGUGGCGUGAUCUCGGCUCACUGCCACCUCCGCCUCCUGGAUUCAAGCGAUUCUCCUGCCUCAGCCUCCCAUGUAGCUGGGAUUACAGGCUUGUGCCACCACAUCCAGCUAAUUUUGUUUUUUAGUAGAGAUGGGGGUUCACCAUGUUGGCCAGGCUGGUCUUGAACUCCUGAUCGUAAGUGAUCCUCCAGCCUCGGCCUCCCAAAGUGCUGGGAUUACAGGCAUGAGCCACUGCCCCUGGCCUUCCCAUAUACUUUAAAUCAUCUCUGGAUGCUUACAAUACCUAAUACACUGUAAAUGUUAUGUAAAUGUUUAUAAUUUAUAUUAUUUUUUAUUUUUUUCCAAAUAUUUUGAUCCUCUGUUGAAUUCACAGAUGCAGAACCUGCAGAUAUGAAGGGUCAGCUAUACAUGUUAUUAGAGAAAAUGUAAAAAUACAGAAGACUAUAAAGAAGAAGUAAAAAAGAAAGGCUAACCAGCCAACAUUUUUGCUAUAUUGCUAUAUUUCUUCUUAGUUCUUUUUUCUAAAUACAUGCAUAACACACACACACACACACACACACACACACACACUCACUCAUACUUUCUUUUAAGAACAGAAUUGAGACUUGAGUUUUAUAGCCCGAUUUUUUUCUCUUAAAAUUAUAUUGUGAACAUUUUGCUGUGCCAUUAAGUAUUCUUCAGAACAUUAUUUUUAAUGGCUGUAUCAUAUAGUAUUCUACAAAUAAAUCAUGGUGUAUGUAGCCUAAUUUAUUAACCACUUCCCUAUUGUUGAACAUUACUGUUGGGAACACCAACAACAGCUUUUAUUUGUUGCUUUGCUCUGUUCCAAGUAUUGUGCUGAGCUUUUUCCCUUGAUGCAUAAUCUCAUUUAAUUUUGUUCUCAUAGCAAUCUAAUGAGGUAGAAUUCAUUAGACCCAUUUUACAGGGGAGAAACAUGAAGGUCAGAGGAGUAAUGUGUCAAAGGCUGCAAUUCCAGAAAGAGGCAAAUCUGGGAUUCAAGUCCUGGUCCCAUUUGAUGUUAAUGUCCAGGCACUCAAACAUGACCCUGGCCUGCCUCACCAGCGUGUAUGAGGAAGGUUCAUGCUUUAUCAGGCCAUGAAAGAGAUUGAGAAACACAUAUCAGAAAGGCAGGAGGAGACACGGAAGAGAGGAGUAUGGAGGCAACAAAGGAGAGAUCUUAAGUAGGAGGAAGUGCUUUUCUGUAUUCAAAGCUGCGAAGAUAGAAGGACAAGACCAAUGCAAAAACUGAUUAAUCUUUUUCAAGACAGGCAUUUCAGAAGCAUAAUGGGGGGUGAAAUGCGUGUUCCUAGCUCAGUGCUCCUGACUUGGUGGUAGUGGAGUGACAAAACCAUUCAUUUAUUUAUUCCCAAUACUGGGAGUCAUGGAACAGCCUUCAUAAGGUGGCAUCCAAGCAGCACAAUGUCCCUCCUGUUCCUGAGCAUUUCCGCAUCCCUGCAUCAGUGAGCAGUAUCACUAGCAGGAGCUCAGAGGCUUGUAAUGGAAGGCAGGGACAUCACCCUAUAGGGACAGCAGAACUGCAGGGUGACCAUAGGGGCUGGCCGGGGACCAGGCAUAGGUGACCAGCUUUCCGGGUGUGCCUUGGACUGAGGGGUUUUCCUGGAGGCAGAACUUCCAGUGUUAAAAACAGGAAAGUCCCAGGUAAACUGGGAUGGUUGGUCACCCUAGGCUGAGGCCCAGCUCAGAGUCUGGGCUUAUCCAGGGGCAGGUCCGUGCAGGCUUCCUGAAAGAGUAGCGAGGGAUCCGGCGCUGUUUGCGCAUGCUCACCUCCCACUUUCGGCCCUUGCAGGCUGCCUUUCCCUUGGCCUCCUCACUGAAACUUCCUCCACAAGGGUCACCGAUGAACCUUACAUACUGCCAGAUUCCACAGCCACUUUUGGUCCAAGUCACUGUCAUCCCUCACCUGGGCUACUGCAGUAGUCUCCUAAUGGUCCCCUGCUUCUAUCCUUUGCCCUACAAUCUAUUUCCAACCCGACAGCCAAAGUGACCUUUUCCUUAAAAAUUGAACUUUUUUUCAUUAAGAAAUAAUGUAUACAUAGUAAAACUCAAGUGUAUUAAUACGCAAUUCUGCAUGCUUUGGCAAACACAUGCAGUGGUUUAACCUCCACCGUAGUCAAGAUGUAAAAAUGUUUUUUUUUUUUCACUCCAACUAAUUCCUCUGUACCAACCUAUUUCCUUACCCCCAGUCCCUGUUAACCACUGAUUUCUGUUUCUAAACUUUUUGCCUUUUUGGAAUGGCAUGUAAAUAAAUCAUAUUGUAUGUA